CCUACGGGAGUCUGCAGUGAGGAAUAUUGGUCAAUGGACGAGAGUCUGAACCAGCCAAGUAGCGUGAAGGAUGACUGCCCUAUGGGUUGUAAACUUCUUUUAUAAAGGAAUAAAACGAGGCACGUGUGCCUUUUUGCAUGUACUUUAUGAAUAAGGAUCGGCUAACUCCGUGCCCGCAGCCGCGGUAAUACGGAGGAUCCGAGCGUUAUCCGGAUUUAUUGGGUUUUAAGGGAGCGUAGAUGGGUUGUUAAGUCAGUUGUGAAAGUUUGCGGCUCAAACGUAAAAUUGCAAUUGAUACUGGCAGUCUUGAGUACAGUUGAGGUAGGCGGAAUUCGUGGUGUAGCGGUGAAAUGCUUAGAUAUCACGAAGAACCCCGAUUGCGAAGGCAGCUUACUAAACUGUGACUGACAUUGAUGCUCGAAAGUGUGGGUAUCAAACAGGAUUAGAUACCCGGGUAGUC
RNAcentral lists this ribosomal RNA (460 nucleotides) under uncultured bacterium. RNAcentral describes it as "partial 16S ribosomal RNA". It matches the Rfam family "Bacterial small subunit ribosomal RNA", at positions 338 to 795 of the family's 1533-position model. The record is from RNAcentral.